Molecule: ribosomal RNA, 497 nt
Filed under: uncultured bacterium
Lineage: Bacteria
Description: partial 16S ribosomal RNA
Rfam family: Bacterial small subunit ribosomal RNA
Source: RNAcentral
GAUGAACGCUGGCGGCGUGCCUAAUACAUGCAAGUCGAGCGAACAGACGAGGAGCUUGCUCCUCUGACGUUAGCGGCGGACGGGUGAGUAACACGUGGAUAACCUACCUAUAAGACUGGGAUAACUUCGGGAAACCCGAGCUAAUACCGGAUAAUAUAUUGAACCGCAUGGUUCAAUAGUGAAAGACGGUUUUGCUGUCACUUAUAGAUGGAUCCGCGCCGCAUUAGCUAGUUGGUAAGGUAACGGCUUACCAAGGCGACGAUGCGUAGCCGACCUGAGAGGGUGAUCGGCCACACUGGAACUGAGACACGGUCCAGACUCCUACGGGAGGCAGCAGUAGGGAAUCUUCCGCAAUGGGCGAAAGCCUGACGGAGCAACGCCGCGUGAGUGAUGAAGGUCUUCGGAUCGUAAAACUCUGUUAUUAGGGAAGAACAAAUGUGUAAGUAACUAUGCACGUCUUGACGGUACCUAAUCAGAAAGCCACGGCUAACUACGUG